CGCAGCACAAGUUGGGUAUUUCCGAACACGACUCAACGCCAUGGUCAAUUCAACGGUGCCACCUUUUACGAUGACAGUAGCUAAUUUCACCAACACUACUGCAACAGCAGUUAACCAACUGGCAUUGUGCGGUGUGAAAAACGAAGGUUUGAUUGUGCCACUAUCACUCGGAGCCGAGAACCGAACUACCACCAACGUCGUAACGGGUGAUGUCAAUUCCUUAUCACCCCGACGUACUGAGAGGGAGGUGUUGAGGAUCGCAUUUGGAACUGGCAACGCCACCAGGCCCGGUGGAAUUUUCCCAAGUGGUCUCAUUGGGAC
This 321-nucleotide long non-coding RNA is filed under the name Gossypium barbadense (sea-island cotton). RNAcentral's name for it is "long non-coding RNA (GBAR_LNC011074)". The record is from RNAcentral. Lineage: Eukaryota; Viridiplantae; Streptophyta; Magnoliopsida; Malvales; Malvaceae.